ACGAACGCUGGCGGCGUGCCUAACACAUGCCGGUCGAACGGAAAGGCCCUGCUUUUGUGGGGUGCUCGAGUGGCGAACGGGUGAGUAACACGUGAGUAACCUGCCCUUGACUUUGGGAUAACUUCAGGAAACUGGGGCUAAUACCGGAUAGGAGCUCCUGCUGCAUGGUGGGGGUUGGAAAGUUUCGGCGGUUGGGGAUGGACUCGCGGCUUAUCAGCUUGUUGGUGGGGUAGUGGCUUACCAAGGCUUUGACGGGUAGCCGGCCUGAGAGGGUGACCGGCCACAUUGGGACUGAGAUACGGCCCAGACUCCUACGGGAGGCAGCAGUGGGGAAUAUUGCACAAUGGGCGGAAGCCUGAUGCAGCAACGCCGCGUGCGGGAUGACGGCCUUCGGGUUGUAAACCGCUUUCGCCUGUGACGAAGCGUGAGUGACGGUAAUGGGUAAAGAAGCACCGGCUAACUACGUG
This 467-nucleotide ribosomal RNA is filed under the name uncultured bacterium. RNAcentral describes it as "partial 16S ribosomal RNA". It matches the Rfam family "Bacterial small subunit ribosomal RNA", at positions 29 to 507 of the family's 1533-position model. The record is from RNAcentral.